RNAcentral lists this ribosomal RNA (384 nucleotides) under uncultured bacterium. RNAcentral's name for it is "bacterial SSU rRNA". It matches the Rfam family "Bacterial small subunit ribosomal RNA", at positions 29 to 400 of the family's 1533-position model. The record is from RNAcentral.
AAUGAACGCUGGCGGCGCGCCUAAUACAUGCAAGUCGAGCGAGAAGACGUAGCAAUACGUUUGUAAAGCGGCGAACGGGUGAGGAAUACAUGGGUAACCUACCCUCGAGUGGGGAAGUAACUAGCCGAAAGGUUAGCUAAUACCGCGUACGCCUCUUGGACUUCGGUUCAGGGAGGAAAGCGAUACCGUGGGUAUCGCGCUCUUGGAUGGGCGUCAUGUCCUAUCAGCUUGUUGGUGAGGUAACGGCUCACCAAGGCUUCGACGGGUAGCUGGUCUGAGAGGACGGAUCAGCCACACUGGCACUGCGACACGGGCCAGACUCCUACGGGAGGCAGCAGUAAGGAAUAUUGCGCAAUGGGCGAAAGCCUGACGCAGCGACGCCGC